This 462-nucleotide ribosomal RNA is filed under the name uncultured bacterium. Its description in RNAcentral is "partial 16S ribosomal RNA". It matches the Rfam family "Bacterial small subunit ribosomal RNA", at positions 28 to 506 of the family's 1533-position model. The record is from RNAcentral.
GACGAACGCUGGCGGCGUGCUUAACACAUGCAAGUCGAACGGUGAACCUCUUCGGAGGGGAUCAGUGGCGAACGGGUGAGUAACACGUGGGCAACCUGCCCCCGGCUCUGGGAUAACUCCAAGAAAUUGGGGCUAAUACCGGAUGUUCACCGCUUCCCGCAUGGGUGGUGGUGGAAAGGGUUUCCGGCUGGGGAUGGGCCCGCGGCCUAUCAGCUUGUUGGUGGGGUAGUGGCCUACCAAGGCGACGACGGGUAGCCGGCCUGAGAGGGUGACCGGCCACACUGGGACUGAGACACGGCCCAGACUCCUACGGGAGGCAGCAGUGGGGAAUAUUGCGCAAUGGGCGGAAGCCUGACGCAGCGGCGCCGCGUGGGGGAUGACGGCCUUCGGGUUGUAAACCUCUUUCAGCAGGGACGAAGCGCAAGUGACGGUACCUGCAGAAGAAGCACCGGCCAACUACGU